RNAcentral lists this ribosomal RNA (221 nucleotides) under uncultured bacterium. Its description in RNAcentral is "partial 16S ribosomal RNA". It matches the Rfam family "Bacterial small subunit ribosomal RNA", at positions 524 to 741 of the family's 1533-position model. The record is from RNAcentral.
UACGUAGGGUGCGAGCGUUAAUCGGAAUUACUGGGCGUAAAGCGUGCGCAGGCGGUUCGUUGUGUCGGCGGUGAAAGCCCCGGGCUUAACCUGGGAAUGGCCGUCGAAAACUGGCGAACUGGAGUGUGGCAGAGGGGGGGUGGAAUUCCGCGUGUAGCAGUGAAAAUGCGUAGAGAUGCGGGAGGAACACCGAUGGCGAGGCGCCCCCCUGGGCUGACACU